This 389-nucleotide ribosomal RNA is filed under the name Chaetoceros sp. RNAcentral's name for it is "partial small subunit ribosomal RNA". It matches the Rfam family "Eukaryotic small subunit ribosomal RNA", at positions 582 to 975 of the family's 1831-position model. Lineage: Eukaryota; Bacillariophyta; Thalassiosirophyceae; Chaetocerotales; Chaetocerotaceae. The record is from RNAcentral.
AUUCCAGCUCCAAUAGCGUAUAUUAAAGUUGUUGCAGUUAAAAAGCUCGUAGUUGGAUUUCCGGCGUGAGGGAUCAGUCUGACUUCUAGUCAGUACUUGGUCCUCUCAUGCCGUCCUUGAAUGGUGCAUCCUGGCAUUAAGUUGUCGGGGUGAGAGCCGUUCAUCGUUUACUGUGAGAAAAUUAGAGUGUUCAAAGCAGGCUUAUGCCGUUGAAUAUAUUAGCAUGGAAUAAUAAGAUAGGACUUUGGUACUAUUUUGUUGGUUUGAGAACCAAGGUAAUGAUCAAUAGGGACAGUUGGGGGUAUUCGUAUUCAGUUGUCAGAGGUGAAAUUCUUGGAUUUACGAAAGAUAAACUUCUGCGAAAGCAUUCGGCAAGGAUGUUUUCAUCG